RNAcentral lists this ribosomal RNA (476 nucleotides) under uncultured bacterium. RNAcentral describes it as "partial 16S ribosomal RNA". It matches the Rfam family "Bacterial small subunit ribosomal RNA", at positions 29 to 523 of the family's 1533-position model. The record is from RNAcentral.
AGUGAACGCUGGCGGCGUGCCUAACACAUGCAAGUCGAACGAUGAUGGAGAGCUUGCUCUCCUGAUUAGUGGCGCACGGGUGAGUAUACCAUAGAUAAUGUACCCCUUAGUUCGGGAUAGCCACUGGAAACGGUGAUUAAUACCGGAUACUCCUUCUCGUUAUAAGAUGAGUCGGGAAAGUUUUUUCGCUAAGGGAUCAGUCUAUGUCCUAUCAGCUAGUUGGUGAGGUAAUGGCUCACCAAGGCUAUGACGGGUAUCUGGUUUGAGAGGAUGAUCAGACACACUGGAACUGAGACACGGUCCAGACUCCUACGGGAGGCAGCAGUGAGGAAUAUUGCACAGUGGAGGAAACUCUGAUGCAGCAACGCCGCGUGGAGGAUGACGCAUUUCGGUGUGUAAACUCCUUUUAAGAGGGAAGAUUAUGACGGUACCUCUUGAAUAAGCACCGGCUAACUCCGUGCCAGCAGCCGCAGUAA